ACGUAGGUGGCAAGCGUUGUCCGGAAUUACUGGGUGUAAAGGGAGCGUAGGCGGGGAGACAAGUUGAAUGUCUAAACUAUCGGCUUAACUGAUAGUCGCGUUCAAAACUAUCACUCUUGAGUGCAGUAGAGGUAGGUGGAAUUCCUAGUGUAGCGGUGAAAUGCGUAGAUAUUAGGAGGAACACCAGUGGCGAAGGCGGCCUACUGGGCUGUAACUGACGCUGAGGCUCGAAAGCGUGGGUAGCAAACAG
This 250-nucleotide ribosomal RNA is filed under the name uncultured bacterium. Its description in RNAcentral is "partial 16S ribosomal RNA". It matches the Rfam family "Bacterial small subunit ribosomal RNA", at positions 525 to 775 of the family's 1533-position model. The record is from RNAcentral.